GACGAACGCUGGCUGCGUGCUUAACACAUGCAAGUCGAACGGAAAGGCCCUGCUUUUGUGGGGUGCUCGAGUGGCGAACGGGUGAGUAACACGUGAGUAACCUGCCCUUGACUUUGGGAUAACUUCAGGAAACUGGGGCUAAUACCGGAUAGGAGCUCCUGCUGCAUGGUGGGGGUUGGAAAGUUUCGGCGGUUGGGGAUGGACUCGCGGCUUAUCAGCUUGUUGGUGGGGUAGUGGCUUACCAAGGCUUUGACGGGUAGCCGGCCUGAGAGGGUGACCGGCCACAUUGGGACUGAGAUACGGCCCAGACUCCUACGGGAGGCAGCAGUGGGGAAUAUUGCACAAUGGGCGGAAGCCUGAUGCAGCAACGCCGCGUGCGGGAUGACGGCCUUCGGGUUGUAAACCGCUUUCGCCUGUGACGAAGCGUGAGUGACGGUAAUGGGUAAAGAAGCACCGGCUAACUACGUGCCAGCAGCCGCGGUGAUACGUAGGGUGCGAGCGUUGUCCGGAUUUAUUGGGCGUAAAGGGCUCGUAGGUGGUUGAUCGCGUCGGAAGUGUAAUCUUGGGGCUUAACCCUGAGCGUGCUUUCGAUACGGGUUGACUUGAGGAAGGUAGGGGAGAAUGGAAUUCCUGGUGGAGCGGUGGAAUGCGCAGAUAUCAGGAGGAACACCAGUGGCGAAGGCGGUUCUCUGGGCCUUUCCUGACGCUGAGGAGCGAAAGCGUGGGGAGCGAACAGGCUUAGAUACACUGGUAGUCCACGCUGUAAACGGUGGGUACUAGGUGUGGGGUCCAUUCCACGGGUUCCGUGCCGUAGCUAACGCUUUAAGUACCCCGCCUGGGGAGUACGGCCGCAAGGCUAAAACUCAAAGGAAUUGACGGGGCCCCGCACAAGCGGCGGAGCAUGCGGAUUAAUUCGAUGCAACGCGUAGAACCUUACCUGGGUUUGACAUGGAUCGGGAGUGCUCAGAGAUGGGUGUGCCUCUUUUGGGGUCGGUUCACAGGUGGUGCAUGGCUGUCGUCAGCUCGUGUCGUGAGAUGUUGGGUUAAGUCCCGCAACGAGCGCAACCCUUGUUCACUGUUGCCAGCACGUUAUGGUGGGGACUCAGUGGAGACCGCCGGGGUCAACUCGGAGGAAGGUGGGGAUGACGUCAAGUCAUCAUGCCCCUUAUGUCCAGGGCUUCACGCAUGCUACAAUGGCUGGUACAGAGAGUGGCGAGCCUGUGAGGGUGAGCGAAUCUCGGAAAGCCGGUCUCAGUUCGGAUUGGGGUCUGCAACUCGACCUCAUGAAGUCGGAGUCGCUAGUAAUCGCAGAUCAGCAACGCUGCGGUGAAUACGUUCCCGGGGCU
RNAcentral lists this ribosomal RNA (1346 nucleotides) under uncultured bacterium. Its description in RNAcentral is "partial 16S ribosomal RNA". It matches the Rfam family "Bacterial small subunit ribosomal RNA", at positions 28 to 1381 of the family's 1533-position model. The record is from RNAcentral.